RNAcentral lists this ribosomal RNA (375 nucleotides) under uncultured bacterium. RNAcentral's name for it is "bacterial SSU rRNA". It matches the Rfam family "Bacterial small subunit ribosomal RNA", at positions 29 to 429 of the family's 1533-position model. The record is from RNAcentral.
AACGAACGCUGGCGGCAGGCUUAACACAUGCAAGUCGAACGGGCGUAGCAAUACGUCAGUGGCGGACGGGUGAGUAACACGUGGGAAUAUGCCUUUCGGUUCGGAACAACUCGGGGAAACCCGUGCUAAUUCCGGAUACGCCCUUACGGGGAAAGGAUUUAUCGCCGAAAGAUUAGCCCGCGUUGGAUUAGCUAGUUGGUGAGGUAAAGGCUCACCAAGGCGACGAUCCAUAGCUGGUUUGAGAGAACGACCAGCCACACUGGGACUGAGACACGGCCCAGACUCCUACGGGAGGCAGCAGUGGGGAAUCUUGGACAAUGGGCGCAAGCCUGAUCCAGCCAUGCCGCGUGAGUGAUGAAGGCCUUCGGUUGUAAA